CGUAGGAGGCGAGCGUUAUCCGGAUUCACUGGGCGUAAAGCGCGUGCAGGUGGCGCGGUAAGUUAGGCGUGAAAUCUCCCGGCUCAACUGGGAGAGGUCGUCUAAUACUACCGUGCUUGAGAGCAGAAGAGGAAGAUGGAAUUCCCGGUGUAGUGGUGAAAUGCGUAGAUAUCGGGAGGAACACCAGUGGCGAAGGCGAUCUUCUGGUCUGUUUCUGACACUCAGACGCGACAGCUAGGGUAGUAAACGGGAUUAGAGACCCCGGUAAUCCUAGCCGUAAACGGUGUGAACUUGGCGUUGGUGGGUUAAACUCCAUCAGUGCCGUAGCAAACGCGAUAAGUUCACCGCCUGGGGACUACGGCCGCAAGGUUA
RNAcentral lists this ribosomal RNA (372 nucleotides) under uncultured organism. Its description in RNAcentral is "bacterial SSU rRNA". It matches the Rfam family "Bacterial small subunit ribosomal RNA", at positions 526 to 896 of the family's 1533-position model. The record is from RNAcentral.